This 1347-nucleotide long non-coding RNA is filed under the name Mustela putorius furo (domestic ferret). RNAcentral's name for it is "lncRNA (ENSMPUG00000027547.1)". Lineage: Eukaryota; Metazoa; Chordata; Mammalia; Carnivora; Mustelidae. The record is from RNAcentral.
GUUAGGUUGUCAGGUCAUCGCUGACAGAAUCGGCGCCGUUGGAUUCGGAGGGAAGAAGGCAGGUAACAGUAGGCAACGUUUAAGCAGGGAACAUUCUAGAGCUCCUGUGUGUUCAGCGGUCCUCCUGCCUCUUCAGAUUCUCUUCUGGCCACCACUAACCCUGUGCGGUAGGCACCCUUAUCCUGCCUAUUCUACAAGCGAGGAAUGGGAGUUUGAGAAGAUACCAUCUUGCCCAAGGUCAUCCAGCACAAACAAGAAAUUCUGAAUUUGAUCAGAACAAUCCACAUGAAAGAAUAUGGAGACAAUUCUGGAAGAAAACUGUAAGAAUUGGCAGAGGACAAUGAGUUAGAGACACCUUACAGUGCAAUUAUAAUGAAAGUGUGCUCGUCCGAGAAUGUACCGGGCUCAGUCUGGCUGGGGAUGUGAAGCUGGCCAGCGGGCCCCUCCACCCUCCCUUCCACCCUCCCACCGUCAGACUCUGCCGUGGGGACACGGGGACCACCUCCUGCACCAAAGGGACCAUCCAGCUGGAAGCUCAACCAUCUCCUGAGCACGAGAGGAGAAACCGGAAACUGAUGGGAAACAUCUCCCCAAUAUUUUAAGGUUGGCAACAAAUUUAACUUUUCACAUGCAUGUAGCCAUCAACGUGCCCAGGGGGCGAGUUCAGAAUCCAGAGCUCAGAUCCCAGUAGCCAGCAAUCCCUCCCAUAAGGAUGAGGCAAACAAUUCCAUGCUUUCUCUCUCUCUCUCUUUCUUUUUUCUGCUGAGUCAAAACAGCAAAAACAACAACUACUCUUAAUUUUUCAGUAACUCAUCCUGUUCUAAAAGGCAGAGUCUGGCUAGCUGGGAACAUUCGCGGUGCCGGGGAACGCUGGUAUCAUUCAUCUCUGAAAUGGGAGUAAAACCCUUGCCUUACAGACUUUACAAGGCUGCCAGAGAGUCAAAUGAGUUAAGAGGUGCUUAACAGCCCUCAGUAUGUAAACAUACUGUACAAAUUUUGGAUAGUACCUGGCAGAAGAAAAGGACAAAGGGCAUGGGGAAAGCCGGUGAAUGCCUCCCUCUCCUGCUGUUCCCUAGAGCCACGCUUCCUUCCUUCCUAUUUAAAAUAAUCCCUGGGGACAGUGAGUACUGCCUGCUCCUGUAGUGUAGCAGGAAAAGGACAGUCCCUUUCCAUGUCAUGUAGCUUGGAAAGAAUUGCACCUACAUAGACACAGACCCCAAGCUACAUUGCCCAGAAAGCACAGAGCAGUCCCAUGGGGCAGCCUCAUGCUUGGUGGAAGAAGACAAAAUCAUGGUCAGCGCUCUCAUCCGACUCAGAAGCUGGGUUGGCCAGGUUCGUCCAUUGUCG